Molecule: transfer RNA, 90 nt
Filed under: Mesorhizobium sp.
Lineage: Bacteria; Pseudomonadati; Pseudomonadota; Alphaproteobacteria; Hyphomicrobiales; Phyllobacteriaceae
Description: tRNA-Ser
Rfam family: tRNA
About the family: Transfer RNA (tRNA) molecules are approximately 80 nucleotides in length. Their secondary structure includes four short double-helical elements and three loops (D, anti-codon, and T loops).
Source: RNAcentral
GGAGGGAUGUCCGAGCGGUUUAAGGAACCGGUCUUGAAAACCGGCGUGGGUGCAAGCCCACCGUGGGUUCGAAUCCCACUCCCUCCGCCA